RNAcentral lists this unclassified non-coding RNA (20 nucleotides) under Mus musculus (house mouse). RNAcentral describes it as "oocyte_clustered_small_RNA10391". Lineage: Eukaryota; Metazoa; Chordata; Mammalia; Rodentia; Muridae. The record is from RNAcentral.
ACCGACCUGGGUCUGAAGCU